Molecule: ribosomal RNA, 443 nt
Filed under: uncultured bacterium
Lineage: Bacteria
Description: partial 16S ribosomal RNA
Rfam family: Bacterial small subunit ribosomal RNA
Source: RNAcentral
CUACGGGCGGCUGCAGUCGAGAAUCUUCCGCAAUGGACGCAAGUCUGACGGAGCGAUGUCGCGUGAUUGAUGAAGUCUUUCGGGAUGUAAAGAUCUUUUCUCAAGGAGGAAGUUUAUUGACGUUACUUGAGGAAUAAGGGGUUGCUAAACUCGUGCCAGCAGCAGCGGUAAUACGAGUGCCCCAAGCGUUAUCCGGAAUUAUUGGGCGUAAAGGGUCCGCAGGCGGUCCUAUUAGUCUUGUGUGAAAUCUCCCGGCGCAACUGGGAACACGCACAGGAAACGGUAGGACUAGAGGAUGUGAGAGGUAUGUGGAACUCAUGGUGUAGGGGUGAAAUCCGUUGAUAUCAUGGGGAACACCAAAAGCGAAGGCAGCAUACUGGCACAUUCCUGACGCUCAGGGACGAAAGCACGGGUAGCGAAUGGGAUUAGAUACCCUUGUAAUC